RNAcentral lists this long non-coding RNA (903 nucleotides) under Marmota monax (woodchuck). The record is from RNAcentral. Lineage: Eukaryota; Metazoa; Chordata; Mammalia; Rodentia; Sciuridae.
CCCAGGCUGCUCUGCUGAAGGCCGUGGUGGUGUGGGGAGCCCAUUUGUUCAGCCUGUGUCUCCCCAGGGAUCACCCCAACAUGUCCCCAGGAAAAACCAUGGACCUGGAGAACAUCGGAAGCAGCCCCUCUGGCCACCAUACCCGAGGAUACUCACACCCAGACGACAAGAACCUGAGUAGGGAAGGGGACCCGGCUGGGACUCAGGACCUGCAGUCCUGCCGCAUUCUCGUGUGGCUUCCCUGUCACUGACCCACUUCCCUUCUAAGAAGUGUUUGACCUUGGAGCUGACAAAGGACACCAUCUCCGGCCCUCCCUGACCCCUCCCCCACUGGGCGCACAAAGCCCCGCCUCCAGCUGUCUCAGUGGCUGGCACAACAAGCUUGUGACCCUUCAGGCCAGAGGUGUGGUCCCAUUUCACAGAUGGCAUAACCGAGACAGCAGAGCUGGAAAGAGAACAAGAUUGGCCAGUACCCAGGACCUCCUCACUCCUCCUCCCUGCCAGGCUGCCCGUCAUUAAGGAGGUGCCAGUCCGACGCUCAGGAUUCCCAGCCUGGUUUAUGGCCCGUGUGACUUUGGCAGGUUGCUUUCCCUCUGUGGGCCUUGGUGGCUCAGAGGAGGGAGUGAGGAUGGCUGAAACUGGAAAGCCUUGGCCCUGUCUUGCUAUCACUGCCCCAUGGCAGGACCCAGGCCCCGCUGCCCACGGCCUUGACACUGCUUUCCAAUGUUCCCACCCUCUGCCUCUCUGUGCUGGAGCAGGGCCACUUCAGCCAUGGGCGGGGGACAGGCCAUGUCAGCUACUGGGUUUGGGGGAAUCUGUCUUCCAAGGGAUGAAGACCUGGGAGGGGUCCCUGUGUCCCCCUCUCACUGCCUGGCCAAGGAGGACCCCACAGUAGGAAGGGAA